UGGGGGAAUAUUGCACAAUGGGCGCAAGCCUGAUGCAGCAACGCCGCGUGAGGGAAGACGGUUUUCGGAUUGUAAACCUCUGUCUUUGGUGACGAAGAAGUGACGGUAGCCAAGGAGGAAGCCACGGCUAACUACGUGCCAGCAGCCGCGGUAAUACGUAGGUGGCAAGCGUUAUCCGGAAUUACUGGGUGUAAAGGGUGUGUAGGCGGGCUCGCAAGUUGGAUGUGUAAUACCCAGAGCUUAACUCGGGUGCUGCAUCUGAAACUACGAGUCUUGAGUGUCGGAGAGGUAAGUGGAAUUCCUAGUGUA
This 309-nucleotide ribosomal RNA is filed under the name uncultured Oscillospiraceae bacterium. RNAcentral's name for it is "bacterial SSU rRNA". It matches the Rfam family "Bacterial small subunit ribosomal RNA", at positions 354 to 677 of the family's 1533-position model. The record is from RNAcentral. Lineage: Bacteria; Bacillati; Bacillota; Clostridia; Eubacteriales; Oscillospiraceae.